AAUUUUGGACAAUGUGGGAAACCCUGACCCAGCCAUCCCGCGCGUAUGAUUAAUGCCUUCGCUUUGCAAAGUAUCUUUGGCUGAGAAGAAAAGAUAUCUCCUAAUACGAGAUACUGCUGACGUUAUCUGCAGCAUAAGCACCGGCUAACUACAUGCCAUAAGCCGCGGUAAUACGUAGGGGGCAAGCGUUCAGCGGAAUUAAUGGGCGUAAAGCGUGUGUAGGCGGUUCGGAAAGAAAGAUAGGAAAACCCAGGGCUCAACCUUGGGACUGCAUUUUUAACUGCCGAGCUAGAGUAUGUCAGAGGGGGGUAGAAAUCCACGUGUAGCAGUGAAAUGCGUAGAUAUGUGGAGGAAUACCGAUGGGGAAGGCAGGCCCCUGGGAUAAUACUGACGGUCAGACACGAAAGCGUGGGGAGCAAAC
RNAcentral lists this ribosomal RNA (421 nucleotides) under uncultured bacterium. Its description in RNAcentral is "partial 16S ribosomal RNA". It matches the Rfam family "Bacterial small subunit ribosomal RNA", at positions 360 to 773 of the family's 1533-position model. The record is from RNAcentral.